This is a long non-coding RNA of Dermacentor andersoni, 214 nucleotides long. RefSeq lists it as uncharacterized. The record is from RefSeq and is a predicted model, not a curated record. NCBI's taxonomy places the organism in Eukaryota, Metazoa, Arthropoda, Arachnida, Ixodida, Ixodidae.
CGAAGCGACUCAAUUCCGAAAGAUCCUGCGAGUUUGCCUCGACGACGUUGUUCACAAGCUCCUUGAGGUCCCUGGCCAUCUCGUCUCGAGCAGUGAUUCGACGAUAGCACUGAAGAUCAACCGAGAUCGCAGCUCCUCUUCCGGCGGUAGUUGCCGAGCGGCAAACUCCCGCUUCGCUUCGCGCAGCAGCUUGGCGUCCGUGAGCAGAUCGAGC